Molecule: transfer RNA, 73 nt
Filed under: Sus scrofa (pig)
Lineage: Eukaryota; Metazoa; Chordata; Mammalia; Artiodactyla; Suidae
Rfam family: tRNA
About the family: Transfer RNA (tRNA) molecules are approximately 80 nucleotides in length. Their secondary structure includes four short double-helical elements and three loops (D, anti-codon, and T loops). Further hydrogen bonds mediate the characteristic L-shaped molecular structure. tRNAs have two regions of fundamental functional importance: the anti-codon, which is responsible for specific mRNA codon recognition, and the 3' end, to which the tRNAs corresponding amino acid is attached (by aminoacyl-tRNA synthetases). tRNAs cope with the degeneracy of the genetic code in two manners: having more than one tRNA (with a specific anti-codon) for a particular amino acid; and 'wobble' base-pairing, i.e. permitting non-standard base-pairing at the 3rd anti-codon position.
Source: Rfam by way of RNAcentral
UCUCUGUUGGUCUAGUGGUUAAGAUUCAGUACUUUCACUGCUGAGGUCCAGGGUUCAAUCUCUGGUCUGAGAA